Molecule: ribosomal RNA, 253 nt
Filed under: uncultured bacterium
Lineage: Bacteria
Description: partial 16S ribosomal RNA
Rfam family: Bacterial small subunit ribosomal RNA
Source: RNAcentral
UACGUAGGGGGCGAGCGUUGUCCGGAAUCAUUGGGCGUAAAGAGCGUGUAGGCGGCUUGGCAAGUCUGACGUGAAAGCCCGCGGCUCAACCCUGGAAUGCCGGUGGAUACUGUGGGGCUAGAGUCCGGAAGGGGCGAGUGGAAUUCCUGGUGUAGCGGUGAAAUGCGCAGAUAUCAGGAGGAACACCAAUGGCGAAGGCAGCUCGCUGGGACGUGACUGACGCUGAGACGCGAAAGCGUGGGGAGCAAACAGG